This 83-nucleotide transfer RNA is filed under the name Claviceps purpurea (ergot fungus). RNAcentral's name for it is "tRNA-Glu". It matches the Rfam family "tRNA". From Rfam's summary of the family: Transfer RNA (tRNA) molecules are approximately 80 nucleotides in length. Their secondary structure includes four short double-helical elements and three loops (D, anti-codon, and T loops). Further hydrogen bonds mediate the characteristic L-shaped molecular structure. tRNAs have two regions of fundamental functional importance: the anti-codon, which is responsible for specific mRNA codon recognition, and the 3' end, to which the tRNAs corresponding amino acid is attached (by aminoacyl-tRNA synthetases). tRNAs cope with the degeneracy of the genetic code in two manners: having more than one tRNA (with a specific anti-codon) for a particular amino acid; and 'wobble' base-pairing, i.e. permitting non-standard base-pairing at the 3rd anti-codon position. Lineage: Eukaryota; Fungi; Ascomycota; Sordariomycetes; Hypocreales; Clavicipitaceae. The record is from RNAcentral. RNAcentral also lists the same sequence under 1 other name.
UCCGGUGUGGUGUAAUGGCUAUCAUACUGCGCUUUCAUAAGAAAGAUUCCGCAGGGACCGGGGUUCGAUUCCCCGCAUCGGAG